RNAcentral lists this ribosomal RNA (417 nucleotides) under Triticum aestivum (bread wheat). RNAcentral's name for it is "partial small subunit ribosomal RNA". Lineage: Eukaryota; Viridiplantae; Streptophyta; Magnoliopsida; Poales; Poaceae. The record is from RNAcentral.
AUGGCCUCGCCGCCGGCGAAGAAGAAACCCCCAACCACCAUAAGCGACCUCGACCAAGACACCCUGCGCGAGAUUCUUCUCCGCCUUCUCUCUCUCCCGAGCCUCGUCCGCGCCGCCCUCAGCUGCCGUGCCUUCCUCGACGCCGUCCGUUCAUCCUCAGCUUUCCGCCGCCGCUUCCGCGCGCUCCACCCUCCCCCAAUCCUAGGUCUCUUCCUCAGCAUAGAACACGCCGUCAGCCCUGCCUUCGUGCCUCUCCGCCGUCUUCCCGACCCAGACCUCGCCGCAGCCGUCCGCGGCGCCGAUUUCUUCCUCACCCGCCUCCCAGUCCCCGAAGACGACAAGGAAGAUUGUGAGGAUGCCGUCUUCCAGUGGUCAAUCUGCGACUGCCGCGGCGGAUUCGUUCUUCUUGGCAACUGA